GGAGUGGGACCCUGCGGUGCAUUAGCUAGUUGGUAGGGUAACGGGCCUACCAAGGCGAUGAUGCAUAGCCGAGUUGAGAGACUGAUCGGCCACAUUGGGACUGAGACACGGCCCAAACUCCUACGGGAGGCAGCAGUAGGGAAUCUUCCACAAUGGACGCAAGUCUGAUGGAGCAACGCCGCGUGAGUGAAGGAGGGUUUCGGCUCGUAAAGCUCCGUUGUUGGUGAAGAAGGACAGGGGUAGUAACUGACCUUUGUUUGACGGUAAUCAAUUAGAAAGUCACGGCUAACUACGUGCCAGCAGCCGCGGUAAU
RNAcentral lists this ribosomal RNA (313 nucleotides) under uncultured Lactobacillus sp. Its description in RNAcentral is "bacterial SSU rRNA". It matches the Rfam family "Bacterial small subunit ribosomal RNA", at positions 220 to 524 of the family's 1533-position model. Lineage: Bacteria; Bacillati; Bacillota; Bacilli; Lactobacillales; Lactobacillaceae. The record is from RNAcentral.